This 1044-nucleotide long non-coding RNA is filed under the name Equus caballus (horse). Its description in RNAcentral is "lncRNA (ENSECAG00000059302.1)". Lineage: Eukaryota; Metazoa; Chordata; Mammalia; Perissodactyla; Equidae. The record is from RNAcentral.
CAGACCUCGCCCUAUGCGUCUCUUCCAUCUGCUGUUCCUGAGUUAUAUUCGUUCAUAAUAAACCUGUGAUCUGGAAGACUCAAGUGGUCUCUGAAUUUUUCCUGGAAAACAAAAGUGGCCUUCAGAGGUCAAGCGGAGAGAAGUGACCGGAAUUUGCACUGCAUGAGCAUCGCUCCAUUCACAGGAAGAUAAUCAGUGGCUAUUUGGGGUUACCUGUCACGGGGGGACGUUUGCCAGAAGGAUCGGGGUCCCUGAGAGCCUUUUCUUUUGUGGCUGAAGUUAAAAAACAGCUGGAGGACGAGCGUCCCCGCUCAGCUGAUGUCGCAGUGUUGAAUAACUUCGUCUCAGGAGGUGAACACUCCGCGUUGCAAAAGUGACUGAAGCUUCAGUUCACAGACCGGAGUCUGGUGAGGGCGGAAUCCAAACUGUGAGAGGGUGACCCUCAUGUUGAGCAUCUCCCGGGCGCAGUCCUGUCUGCAGCUGGAGCGGUGGCGCCUCAUGCCUGUGCCUUCGUCAUCCCAGCAGAACCCAGGAGGGGAGCGCUGUUCCUCCUGCUGGGACGGUGUGGGCAGUCCUGCGUCAAUCAGCGCCUCAAAACCGGCAGCAGAGCCAGCGUCUGCCCUGCGUUCCUGCUUCAGAGAGGACGUCGCCGGGGCCUGGGGAGGCCACCGUCACCCGGAGCGAAGGUGAGACUGGAAGGCAGGACCCAGUGGCCCAGACGCUCCAGCAGUGUGGCCCUGGCGACCUUCCCUGACCUCCCGUCCUGGCAGCUUCCUUGCAGGUGAAGAGUCUGUGGCAAGCCUGCUCUGAUGCCCGCCACGGUGUCCCAUCCGCCUGCGGUAGGCCUGUGUGGGUUUCAGGGAAAAGCCAGCGUGGACGUCUGUCCCGAGCAGAAGUGACGUCUCCCUGGCCGGGGCCCCUGUCCUUCUGCUAAAUCAACAGCUGAACAAUUGGAGAAAUAAAUACGAAAUGAAAUGCAUGUUUUCCCUGCAAGCAAAUACACAGUAGGAAAAAAGACUUAUAAAGAAAAAAAAAAUAACCAAA